This is an RNA transcript of Frieseomelitta varia, 3601 nucleotides long. It is a transcript of the gene named transmembrane protein 192, with no coding region annotated. The record is from RefSeq and is a predicted model, not a curated record. NCBI's taxonomy places the organism in Eukaryota, Metazoa, Arthropoda, Insecta, Hymenoptera, Apidae. The transcript has 7 exons.
AGCUAGUACUAUGCAUAGUAGACAUUUUGAUCUUGUGUUGCGUAUUACAAGUAUGAUCUGUUACAUGUAAAUUAAACUAAACUUUAAAUGAUUUAUAUCAUUUAUCAUUCUACGGAUUAAAUAAUUCCGAGCAUGUUUGUUCGGAAAACAUGUUUUAAACGUUACAAACAAAAAUGUUAGUUUAAUUCUGGUGGUGAACGGUAUAACUUCUUUGUUUCUUUUACCAUCUUUUUAUGCUGGAAUGGUCAGUCUUAACAGAGAUUUAAAUACGUUAGGUAGAGGAGGGGUAUUUUUUGAUUCGUCUCACAAUAUGGAUGAUGAAGAGUAUCUUCAACCUAUAUUAACUUCUCAAGAAGAACAUUUUCAAAAAUUAGAUACUGUAUCAAUUGUGUCUUUUCCCCUUAUAUUUAGUGUGUCUUUAGAAAUUACAGGAAUUAUAUUUAUAUGUGCGUGGCCUGAAGAAAAAAAUAAAUGUGAUACAUAUUUUACAUAUUUAUAUCUUCAUUGUGCUUAUUGGUUGAUAAUUAUGUUGACGGAUCAUUUAGUAAAAACAAAGCACCAUAAACUUCGUAUUUAUGGAUACCUUGAUUUUUAUCAAUCAACGUAUCAACAAAUAAGAACGCCUCUUUUCAUAGCAUCAUUGUGGAUAACAUGUUAUUUACUGUUGGCUGUGAUUUUACACCACAUGCACAAAGUUAAUUAUGAAGAAUAUUGUCGUGCAUCGGAAUGGUUUACUCCUCUAAAUUAUAUAGUGUUGUUAACCACAAUAGAACUUACAAUUAUCAUACCAGUUUAUAUAAAUUACAUCAAAAAAGUUUUGAGAUUCAAUCGAUUACGUCCACCACCUGAUGUUUCUAAAGAAGAGUGGCUAUCUUCUUUUACUCAAGAUACAUAUGCAGGUAGCAGUGAAGUAGGUUGCCGUCAUGGGGGAUCUAAUUUGGAAGAAUUACUUGAAAAACAAGCAGAUUUGAUAAGAUAUUUAAGAGAUCACAAUGUUAAAUUGAGUCAUAGAAUAAUGUUGUUGGCAGCUCAACGUGCAUUGCCUUAAACAUAAAAUUGUGGUCUAUGCAAAAUACAAGCCUCAGAUUUCCGAAAAACCGCUUAUCUAAAAUGGUUUGUUCCCCAAUUAGUUCAAGUAAUCAACGUUCUACUGUAUUAGAAUUCCAAAAAUAUUUAAAGAGGAAAUGAUAUAUAUUUUAUUUUUUACUAUAAAAGUUGAGGGAAAAAGAAAAAAGAAAGACAGGAAAGCGAGAGUUUACUCAUUUCCGUGAUCUAUGAUGCUGUAUACAGUGAUCUCAAUAGAAAUAUGUAAUAUAUGAAUUAUUAUCAUUAAUCUGUAAGAUCAGGCCUUGAGAUGUUAAAAUCGAAAAAACUGUUUAGAUGGUCAGAUUUGUUUAUCUUGAAAUUAUUGCAGGACCAACGAAACUAAAAUCGAAUUAUUUGUGUAUCAAAUUGAAUUAAUAAUUCAUUAAGAUGAUUAUAUUAUUGGCUGUCGAACUAUCAUAUUAUGCUGACUUUUCUGGUAAAACGGAAGGUCAUGUUGGAUAUUUACUCCCACGAAAAUUCUGGAAAUAGCAAGCUUUCGAAUACGCGUUUGUGGAAAUGUGUGCAUGAUUCGAUUAGAAUAAUAUACUGUUAACGUUAACUCUGUUGUUUUCCCAAUUCUAUCACAUGAUUCUUUGUAUUUCUUUCUUGUUUGUUUUUCAUCAUACAACACUGAUCAAAUUUAUUUGAUUUUAUAAAGAUUUACUAUUGCUUACCUGAAUGCAGCGUAAAUUUCUCUGCCCGAUGCCAUCGUCACUGCGAUAUCAGGCAACGACCCUGAAAUAAAGAGUCCUCUGUCUGUGAAAUAAAUUCAUUGAUUGUAAUGGAAAAUUCGAGCAUAUGAACAGAUAAAAAUUUAUAGUAAGAUAAUUUCGAGCAUUCAUUUUUAAGAAUCAUCCUAUUUUUCUUGAAUGACAGGUAGCUCCAUUCAGAAUUCUUAUUGGAUCUUCUGUAUCGAGCUAAAGAUAUUAAAUAUUUAAUUUUACGACGUAACUCAUUUUACCACGCGAUAGAAAAUUUGCACGGAACAAAAAUAUUAAAAUGAGUAAAUGAUUUAUGAACAUUUUAAUAAUCGAGUGAGGAUUUUCCAAAGAAAUAUAACCAUGUUAUAUUUUAUACCGUAGCGCAUAUUUCUGGCAAAAAAACGUGAUGUGUAAAAGAAAUUAUUUACUUCAAAAUAGACAUUCAUAGAUACAACUACUCAUAGUUAAUGAGAUAAAAAAUAGCGAUUAUCUUAUAUUCUUGCUCAUUACUGAAAAUUCAAUGAUUUCUUAUUGAAAUAAGAAAAUAAGAAAACUGAUUUUUGUCAGAUCAAAAUAAAGUCAGUUUUCUCCGCGGUAGUACAAAAGUAUAUUGUCUGAUAUUAACACUGACACGCCAUUGUCUACAUUUAUCAUUUAUAAGGCCAACUAUGUGAUUUAUAGUGAUUUCCUUACGUAAAUUGCAUCGCUUCGUUUUAUUUAACAAAGAUCGAUUGGCGUGCCAUUGUUGUAUCCGGUUGCCUGUGGUCGUGAAACAAACGAUAAAGAUUCUAAAAAAAAAAAAAAAAAAAAAAAAAAAAUACGCUUCACAAUAAAAACGUUAUUCCCCAUAAUAGCCGACUAUUUUCUGUAGACGACGUAUGCAAAUUUAUCUGAUGGAGGCGAACCAAAUUGAGUGCAUUUACACGUGUCCGCUUUACACGUCACACGCUACGUCAUGAACCACGCAAAUUUCAAUUAUAUUUUCCUGAAUGCAUUCCGCCCUUGCUACUAAUAGCAGCGUUUAAAAGUCCAACGAGGUCGGAAAACGAAAAUGAACCGUGAUAGAAAGUGUAUUAUUUGCGAUAGCUAAUUUCGAAUAAAUCCCGAUUAUCGGCGGCCAGUGUGAAUUCGCCAGAAUAAUCGAUGAUGUAUAAGGAAGGUGGUAUCCUGAUCUGUCUAAAAUAGAAUCACGAACUCGAACACGAGGAGAUCGAAACCUUGGCCCCAUAGAGUCGAAGCUUGCGUCUGUUUCGUUGAUAAAAUGAUUAAUUAAGCACCACGUGAACUAAAUAUCUCCUGUUCAAGCAUCAGGAUCUUAAUGAGCAAUCACUUUGGCAUUUGACCAAUGACGCUACAUCAUAUGCAGAGGGUGUUAAUUGCGAUUAAAAAAAAAAAAAAAAGAAAAGGAAAAGAUGCGCGAGAAGAAAGUAAUAGAAACUGGGGACCGACCUUCGUAACUACACGAGAAAGAGGAUUGGAACUCGAGCCGAGGAGUGCUUCGCGACCUUAGACGAUGCGACCUGCACACGAAAUAUCCACGAACCGUGACCACUUCUGCCAGCUAAACGUAGAGAAACAAAGAAGUUUCCAGUUUCAAGCCGUGUCGUGAUCGUCGUGAUUGCCGUUUUAUUCCGUUAGUGUACGCGCGAAUUCGCGAAUCGAUCACGCGCGCAAUUAACGAUACGCGUCUAUAUACUUAGUCGAGUAUGAACAAAGAAAGAAAAGAAAAAGUUUGACACAAAAGAGCAAAAAGGGGAAAAAAACGACGUUCUGUCUCACACCUUCGUCGGUACAUACAUAUUUCAUUAGACACA